CCUACGGGUGGCAGCAGUGAGGAAUAUUGGUCAAUGGACGGAAGUCUGAACCAGCCAUGCCGCGUGCAGGAAGACGGCCCUAUGAGUUGUAAACUGCUUUUGUACAAGGGUAAACCUGAAUACGUGUAUUCUUUUGAAUGUACUUUAUGAAUAAGGAUCGGCUAACUCCGUGCCAGCAGCCGCGGUAAUACGGAGGAUCCAAGCGUUAUCCGGAUUUAUUGGGUUUAAAGGGUGCGUAGGUGGGUUGUUAAGUUAGUGGUGAAAGGUUCGAGCUGAACUCGGGAAUUGCCUUUAAUACUGGUGAUCUAGAGGAUAGAUGAGGUAGGCGGAAUGCAUGGUGUAGCGGUGAAAUGCUUAGAGAUCAUACAGAACACCGAUUGCGAAGGCAGCUUACCAAUCUAUAACUGACGUUGAGGUACGAAAGCGUGGGGAGCAAACAGGAUUAGAUACCCCAGUAGUC
Molecule: ribosomal RNA, 460 nt
Filed under: uncultured bacterium
Lineage: Bacteria
Description: partial 16S ribosomal RNA
Rfam family: Bacterial small subunit ribosomal RNA
Source: RNAcentral